UUCAUUUCUUCUCUCUACAAUAUUUACCAACACUUCCUCUUAUUACUCUUCACUAACAUAUCAAAACAUACCAUACUUAAGGUUUUGGUAACAUUUACAAAACAUACCAAAAUAUCACUUAACAACUUAGAUACUUUCAAAAUGACCAAAAGACAUCCUAGGUACAAUGCCAUUUUCCAAAAAGAUAGAAACUUCACCAAUUUGAGUUUGGGGAUCGGCUUGUAUGCUGAGUCCUUAUACUUUUGUACCUAGCCUGCGCACGGAAACAAACCGUACGCUGAGAAUACUCUCAGUGGUAUUUCUAUAAACAAUAGCUUAAUCAACUUUAAAACAUGGUAAUUCAAACACAUUAUUGCUAUUAUUCAAUAUCAAUCAGUACUUUAAUAACCUUUACUUUAUUUACCCUUAUUAACAUAACUCGGACACUGACGGAUACACGGAUCCAACCCACACUCCGGGAUAAGCACAUAGUGCUUCAUCGGAAUAAAUCCGGAACUUUAACAUUAUAGUACACAAAGUACUUCAUCGGAACAAAUCCGAAACUUUAACAGUAGUCGACACAUAGUGUCUCAUCGACUCAAUGUCGGAAUAUCCCAAUACUUCCAAUUCCUAUGACAUGUCAACUAUAUCCGAC
Molecule: long non-coding RNA, 634 nt
Filed under: Gossypium barbadense (sea-island cotton)
Lineage: Eukaryota; Viridiplantae; Streptophyta; Magnoliopsida; Malvales; Malvaceae
Description: long non-coding RNA (GBAR_LNC011593)
Source: RNAcentral